This 303-nucleotide ribosomal RNA is filed under the name Escherichia coli. Its description in RNAcentral is "partial 16S ribosomal RNA". It matches the Rfam family "Bacterial small subunit ribosomal RNA", at positions 1 to 298 of the family's 1533-position model. Lineage: Bacteria; Pseudomonadati; Pseudomonadota; Gammaproteobacteria; Enterobacterales; Enterobacteriaceae. The record is from RNAcentral.
UUAAAUUGAAGAGUUUGAUCAUGGCUCAGAUUGAACGCUGGCGGCAGGCCUAACACAUGCAAGUCGAACGGUAACAGGAAGCAGCUUGCUGCUUUGCUGACGAGUGGCGGACGGGUGAGUAAUGUCUGGGAAACUGCCUGAUGGAGGGGGAUAACUACUGGAAACGGUAGCUAAUACCGCAUAACGUCGCAAGACCAAAGAGGGGGACCUUAGGGCCUCUUGCCAUCGGAUGUGCCCAGAUGGGAUUAGCUAGUAGGUGGGGUAACGGCUCACCUAGGCGACGAUCCCUAGCUGGUCUGAGAG